Molecule: long non-coding RNA, 413 nt
Organism: Gallus gallus (chicken)
Lineage: Eukaryota; Metazoa; Chordata; Aves; Galliformes; Phasianidae
Source: Ensembl
AUCUGCUUUUCCUGCUUCCUCCCUCCUCCUUUCCCUGAGCGAACAGAGAGUUAUUUGUCCAGCAAGGUGUUAUCUGAACAUGUCAAAUGAGCUGGACUCUUCAAGAGACUGUUGAGAGGCAUCUGCCAUACAGUUCUUCAUGCCAGGAUGCAUAAUGAAGUAUUGAAGAUAAAGUAUUUCCUGGAUGUUUUGGUAAGGAAGUGAGGAAAGCCUGGAAUUGAUUGACAUAUUUAAAAAUAUUUCUGGCCUGACAUCUUUACCACACCGUUUCUAAAGGAGAUUUUUUUUACGUUCAAAACAACUCAUUAAGUGCUGUGAAUGUUUGACACAAAGCCUGUUUGUGUUCCUUGGAGGCAUACCUGAAGAAGGAGGAAAGCUGUGUACUGUUUCCCCACUCCUUGCUGCCUGGGGCA